UGGGGAAUAUUGGACAAUGGGGGCAACCCUGAUCCAGCAAUGCCGCGUGUGUGAAGAAGGCCUGCGGGUUGUAAAGCACUUUCAGUAGAGAAGAAAAGCUAAAGGUUAAUACCCUUGAGUCUUGACGUAACCUACAGAAGAAGCACCGGCUAACUCCGUGCCAGCAGCCGCGGUAAUACGGAGGGUGCGAGCGUUAAUCGGAAUUACUGGGCGUAAAGCGCGCGUAGGCGGUUUUGUAAGUCGGAUGUGAAAUCCCUGGGCUUAACCUGGGAACUGCAUUCGAUACUGCAUAACUAGAGUAUGGUAGAGGGAAGUGGAAUUUCCGGUGUAGCGGUGAAAUGCGUAGAUAUCGGAAGGAACACCAGUGGCGAAGGCGACUUCCUGGGCCAAUACUGACGCUGAGGUGCGAAAGCGUGGGGAGCAAACAGG
Molecule: ribosomal RNA, 429 nt
Filed under: uncultured bacterium
Lineage: Bacteria
Description: bacterial SSU rRNA
Rfam family: Bacterial small subunit ribosomal RNA
Source: RNAcentral